RNAcentral lists this long non-coding RNA (440 nucleotides) under Cricetulus griseus (Chinese hamster). Its description in RNAcentral is "lncRNA (ENSCGRG00015034225.1)". The record is from RNAcentral. Lineage: Eukaryota; Metazoa; Chordata; Mammalia; Rodentia; Cricetidae.
UGGCCGUCGGGGGCGGUGCCGGGACCAAGCGUUCCGUCGCCUUGGUGGUCGCCCGGUUGCAGACCUCUGUCUGCUUCCAGGGCUGUGGGGCUCCAGAGGCUCAUCCCUGGAGGGCGGGAAGUCCUGGAGCAGUGCGGGCGUGACCGCGGGCUUUGCCCACAGAAACGCUUUCCAAGGGCUCCGGACGCAGACUAGGGGGCGUCUGGAGCCUGGUGUGGUGUCUCGUGCAGCCCGUCCCGUGGGAAUGGAUGCAACUUCGGGCGCAGGCGACUGGUGGGAAGUUGGAAUCGUGGAUUCGUGAGCACGCACUACGGGCGGCUAGGGUCAGAAGAGGGCACCAUAUCUCAUUACAGAUGGUUGUGAGCCACCAUGUGGUUACUGGGAAUUGAACUCAGGACCUCUGGAAGAACAGCCAGUGCUCUUAACCUCUGAGCCAUCUC